Molecule: long non-coding RNA, 1471 nt
Organism: Magnolia sinica
Lineage: Eukaryota; Viridiplantae; Streptophyta; Magnoliopsida; Magnoliales; Magnoliaceae
Exons: 3
Source: RefSeq, a predicted model, not a curated record
CACAUCACGGUGGCCACUCAAAGCUCCUGCCCGUUCCUAGCUAGAGAUGAGCGGGGGUAGGACACAAUCCACGUCUCCACCUGAUGAGUAGAUCGAGUUGACUUUUGCAUUUGGAGAUCCUUAUGGUAGAAUCAACCUAUUGGAAAGUUUGGAUGUGACUUAAACAUUAUAGGUUGGAAGUUAUUCGCCAGGUAGACCUCAACAACUUGUGUUCAACUGAUUGGACAUGAGACCUUUAUAUUAAUUCUGUACUAAGAAUAUAUUUUUUAAAUUUUUAAAUCAUUUUUUAAUAGUUCGUUAAAUAAGAAUGCUUGAGUACUGCUCAGAGAAGGAAGCUGUUGCUACACAGAUUCCAAGAGAAGCAUGCAUCACUAAAGUUCAAGUGAUUUUUAGCCUAGUGCUAUUAUGCUACUUUGCUUCUGCUUUUGUAAGUGAGUUCGAAGCCGUUAAACAAGAAUGCGUGAGUCCUGCUCAAAGAAGGAAGUUGCUGCUACACAGAUUCCAAGAGAAGUAUGCAUUACUGUCCCAUUACUAUUUGAUUUAUUAGACAAUAUGCUUCUCAUCGUUGCUAUUUCUCUAGGUUUUAUUAUUCUUUUGUAAGGGAGAUUUAAGCAAAUGAUGAUAUACAAGCUGAAAUUAACAAGUAACAAUGAAGUAUUAGAGAUGGGACUGUAAACUUGAAAAUUUUUGUUUCAAAUCUCAGGAAUGAUUGGAGAAACAUGAUUCAUAAAGCUAACCCAAAUAGUUGUGACAAAGCUAAGAUGAUGAUACACACAUGUAACGUGCAAGAAUUUGAAAAUAACUUUUGGAGAGAAUGGAAUGCAAAAUUAGAAGAGCAGAAGCUUGAAAAAGUGGUUCACACAGCAUUUGUGGCCCACCAGAUGCCUAGACUGCCCUAAUUUUCAAGCCAUGGGACACCACCUGAACUUCCUGGAUCUUACAUAGCAUGGGAGAAUGAUUUGAAAUCCUACUCAUGUCACUUGCUAGAUGGAUUCAACAGUGCACUCUCAUUGUGAAGGAUCCAUAAAAGGCAACCUCUAAGGCCGAAAAGAAAGUCCAUAUGCCAAGCUCUUGCUAACUUUGAAACCUUAACAAAAAGGAUCCAUAAAUGUAACCAUGAUUGUCAACGAUGGGAAGGAAGGUUAACUGCAAUCUAGCAUUUUUAUUUAUUUAUUUAUUUUUAAAAUAUAAAAAUCUCUCCUUGUUGAUCUAUUAAGGGUUUGAUUAGAAACUGGUAUAUCUUUCUAAAAUUUGCCCCUUACCUCUCCUUUGAAACUAUUCAAUACAUUGUUAAGGCCUGGUUUCAUUAGAAUUCCCCUCACUACAAGAAAGUGGAGAAUAUCCAGUGAAUUUUUACCAGUGGCCAUCACCAACCGCCGGAUGCUCGGACGACUUAAAAUGAAAAGCCCUAUCUCUCUGUCUCUCUUUACUUCUCACUAUCUCUCUCUCUCUCUCCCUCUCCCUCUCCCUC